Molecule: unclassified non-coding RNA, 540 nt
Filed under: Hevea brasiliensis (rubber tree)
Lineage: Eukaryota; Viridiplantae; Streptophyta; Magnoliopsida; Malpighiales; Euphorbiaceae
Source: RNAcentral
GAAAGUUUCAAUACGAAGAUAGCUAAUUCAAGCAAAAGUAUACAUCUCAAUUACACAAAAAAUAGAAAACCCUAACAAGAUUUCUCAAUCAUUUCAAUGGGUCUUCACCAAAAUUCACAGAUUAACAGGUACAUGGUAGAUCUCACUGGCUUUUCUUUUUCUCUACCAAGCACCUUUUUUCUAUGUGUCCUUCUUUUUCUUGAUGCAAAUUAAAAGCAGCAAUUUGACCCAUCAAGGAAAAUUUUAUCUUUAUUGGUCAUUAUUUUACUAAUGGUGGAGUAGAUUUUAUGGAGCUUUCAGUUGGUCUUACCUCUACUUGAUCAUUUUUUACUAAUUUUCCCAGCGGGCUGAGCAUGCCCUUCCUCUCAUUUUCUCCAGGAUUGCCCUAAGUGUAUCCAUUGUUGAUUGCAAUUUCGAAAACAACACUGCAUUUGUUUUCAACUUCUGUGGCUGCCAUGGCAACCGCUCAUAGGCUUCUAGCUAGGGUUAUCUUUCUUCUUUUAGUUUCCAGCUAGGGUUAUCUUUCUUCUUUUAGUUUCC